UGAGUCUCAGGAGAUCUGAUGGUUUUAAAAACAGGAGUUUCCCUGCACAAGCUCUCUUUGCCUGCCACCAUCCAUGUAAGACAUGACUUUCUCCUCCUUGCCUUUCACCUUCUGCCAUGAUCGUGAAGUCUCCCCAGCCAUGUGGAACUGUAAAGAAAGCAGGAAACUGUGACUAAAUGAAGAUCACAGAGCCAGUUGAUCAGUGGGGAAGCUGCAUCUGAAAUCCAGGACUUCUAGAUCCUGGGUCAACUGGUAAUCACAAGCGUACAGAUAACAGGCAGGCAGGAAUGUGAAAAUCAGAGAGAAGAGAGAUGUGCACCAGAAGCUGGAGUAAUGUGCUUUGAAGAUGGAGGAAGGGACCAUAAAUCAAGGAAUGCAGACAGCCUGUAGAAGCUGGGAAAGGCAAGGAUGUGGAUUCACUCGAGUCUCUAGAAGAAACGCAACCCCGCCAACACCUUGAUUUGAGGACGUCUGACCUUCAGAAUGAGAAAAUGAUACAUUUGUGUUGUAAGCCACCCAGUUUGUGAAAUAUGUAUCAACAAUUGAAAACUAGUACAUAGUCAAAUACUCAAUCUCUGUUUUUUUUAGCUUAUCAUUUUCAAUCUCUGUCUCCAACCCACAAACCACAUGCAUCAUAAAUAAAUUAAAAUACCAAAACUUUUCUUCUAGAAUUUUUUUGGGAAUACAAAUUCAUAUCAUUGAACUAAAUAUUUUAGAACCCAUAAAAAAGGUCAGAUUUAAUCUUUAAAAAAA
Molecule: long non-coding RNA, 753 nt
Filed under: Homo sapiens (human)
Lineage: Eukaryota; Metazoa; Chordata; Mammalia; Primates; Hominidae
Description: HSALNT0351164
Source: RNAcentral